This is a ribosomal RNA of Xenopus tropicalis (tropical clawed frog), 119 nucleotides long. The record is from Ensembl. NCBI's taxonomy places the organism in Eukaryota, Metazoa, Chordata, Amphibia, Anura, Pipidae.
ACCUACGGCAGUACCACCCUGAAAGUACCCGAUCUCGUCUAAUCUCGGAAGCUAAGCAGGGACGGUCUUUGUUAGUACCUGGAUGGGAGACCGCCUGGGAAUACCAGGUGUUGUAGGCU